Molecule: ribosomal RNA, 497 nt
Filed under: uncultured bacterium
Lineage: Bacteria
Description: partial 16S ribosomal RNA
Rfam family: Bacterial small subunit ribosomal RNA
Source: RNAcentral
GAUGAACGCUGGCGGCGUGCCUAAUACAUGCAAGUCGAGCGAACGGACGAGAAGCUUGCUUCUCUGAUGUUAGCGGCGGACGGGUGAGUAACACGUGGAUAACCUACCUAUAAGACUGGGAUAACUUCGGGAAACCGGAGCUAAUACCGGAUGAUAUUUUGAACCGCAUGGUUCAAAAGUGAAAGACGGUCUUGCUGUCACUUAUAGAUGGAUCCGCGCUGCAUUAGCGAGUUGGUAAGGUAACGGCGUACCAAGGCAACGAUGCAUAGCCGCCCUGAGAGGGUGAUCCGCCACACUGGGACUGAGACACGGUCCAGACUCUUACGGGAGGCAGCAGUAGGGAGUCUUCCGCAAUGGGCGAAAGCCUGACGGAGCAACGCCGCGUGAGUGAUGAAGGUCUUCGGAUCGUAAAACUCUGUUAUUAGGGAAGAACAUAUGUGUAAGUAACUGUGCACAUCUUGACGGUACCUAAUCAGAAAGCCACGGCUAACUACGUG